Molecule: ribosomal RNA, 275 nt
Filed under: uncultured bacterium
Lineage: Bacteria
Description: partial 16S ribosomal RNA
Rfam family: Bacterial small subunit ribosomal RNA
Source: RNAcentral
CCUACGGGUGGCUGCAACUAGGAAUCUUGCACAAUGGGGGAAACCCUGAUGCAGCGACGCCGCGUGGAGGAUGAAGGCCGAAAGGUUGUAAACUCCUUUUACAUGGGAACAAUGUGAGGGUACCAUGCGAAUAAGCCACUGCUAACUUCGUGCCAGCAGCAGCGGUGAUACGGGGGUGGCAAACGUUAUCCGGAUUUAUUGGGCGUAAAGAGAAGCGUAGGUGUUUUGUUAAGUCAUGUGUUAAAGACUGCAGCCUAACUGCAGGAGUGCAUGUG